RNAcentral lists this ribosomal RNA (836 nucleotides) under uncultured marine microorganism. RNAcentral's name for it is "bacterial SSU rRNA". It matches the Rfam family "Bacterial small subunit ribosomal RNA", at positions 668 to 1501 of the family's 1533-position model. The record is from RNAcentral.
UCCCAGUGUAGCGGUGAAAUGCGUAGAUAUUGGGAAGAACAUCGGUGGCGAAGGCGUGCUACUGGACCGUAACUGACACUCAGGGACGAAAGCUAGGGGAGCGAAAGGGAUUAGAUACCCCUGUAGUCCUAGCUGUAAACGAUGGAAACUAGGUGUGGCUUGUAUCGACCCGAGCCGUGCCGUAGCUAACGCGUUAAGUUUCCCGCCUGGGGAGUACGCACGCAAGUGUGAAACUCAAAGGAAUUGACGGGGGCCCGCACAAGCGGUGGAGUAUGUGGUUUAAUUCGAUGCAACGCGAAGAACCUUACCAGGGCUUGACAUGUCGCGAAUCUCGGUGAAAGCUGAGAGUGCCUUCGGGAGCGCGAACACAGGUGGUGCAUGGCUGUCGUCAGCUCGUGUCGUGAGAUGUUGGGUUAAGUCCCGCAACGAGCGCAACCCUUAUUUUUAGUUGCCAGCAUUAAGAUGGGCACUCUAGAAAGACUGCCGGUGACAAACCGGAGGAAGGUGAGGACGACGUCAAGUCAGCAUGCCCCUUACGCCCUGGGCUACACACGUACUACAAUGGUUGGGACAAAGGGCAGCGACUCCGCAAGGAAUAGCGAAUCUCAUCAAACCCAGCCUCAGUUCAGAUUGCAGGCUGCAACUCGCCUGCAUGAAGGAGGAAUCGCUAGUAAUCGCAGGUCAGCAUACUGCGGUGAAUUCGUUCCCGGGCCUUGUACACACCGCCCGUCACACCAUGGAAGCUGGUCACGCCCGAAGUAGUUACCCUAACCUUUCGAGGAGGGGGAUUCCUAAGGCAGGGCUAGUGACUGGGGUGAAGUCGUAACAAGGUAGCC